This 253-nucleotide ribosomal RNA is filed under the name uncultured bacterium. Its description in RNAcentral is "partial 16S ribosomal RNA". It matches the Rfam family "Bacterial small subunit ribosomal RNA", at positions 524 to 776 of the family's 1533-position model. The record is from RNAcentral.
UACAGAGGUUGCGAGCGUUAUUCGGAAUUAUUGGGCGUAAAGGGCGCGUAGGCGGCUAGGCAAGUCCUGGGUGAAAUCCCUCGGCUCAACCGUGGAACUGCCUUGGAAACUGCCUGGCUCGAGGCCGGGAGAGGGUAGCGGAAUUCCCAGUGUAGCGGUGAAAUGCGUAGAUACUGGGAGGAACACCAGUGGCGAAGGCGGCUACCUGGACCGGUUCUGACGCUGAGGCGCGAAAGCGUGGGGAGCAAACGGG